AUACGGAGGAUGCAAGCGUUAUCCGGAUUUAUUGGGUUUAAAGGGUGCGUAGGCGGAUGAUUAAGCGUGAGGUGAAAUGCCACUGCUCAACAGUGGAACUGCCUCGCGAACUGGUUGUCUUGAAUGCUCCUGCCGUGGGAGGAAUGUGUGGUGUAGCGGUGAAAUGCAUAGAGAUCACACAGAACACCGAUUGCGAAGGCAUCUCACGAAGGGGUGAUUGACGCGUAGGCACGAAAGCGUGGGGAUCAAACAGGAUUAGAUACCCUGGUAGUCCACGCAGUAAACGAUGAUAACUAACCGCUGGGUCGUAGUGAUUCAGUGGCCAAGCGAAAGCGAUAAGUUAUCCACCUGGGGAGUACGACCGCAAGGUUGAAACUCAAAGGAAUUGACGGGG
Molecule: ribosomal RNA, 394 nt
Filed under: uncultured bacterium
Lineage: Bacteria
Description: partial 16S ribosomal RNA
Rfam family: Bacterial small subunit ribosomal RNA
Source: RNAcentral